This 612-nucleotide ribosomal RNA is filed under the name Cicindela (Rivacindela) sp. JP-288. RNAcentral's name for it is "partial 16S ribosomal RNA". It matches the Rfam family "Bacterial large subunit ribosomal RNA", at positions 1844 to 2739 of the family's 2925-position model. The record is from RNAcentral. Lineage: Eukaryota; Metazoa; Arthropoda; Insecta; Coleoptera; Carabidae.
UUUAAGGUCUAACCUGCCCAAUGAGGAUUUAAAUGGCCGCAGUAUUUUGACUGUGCAAAGGUAGCAUAAUUAUUAGUUUUUUAAUUGAAAGCUUGUAUGAAGGGUUGGACGAGAUGAAAUCUGUCUUUAUUUAAAUUAAAAUAUAAUUUAACUUUUAAGUAAAAAGGCUUAAAUGUUUAUAAAAGACGAGAAGACCCUAUAGAUCUUUAUUUAAUUGAAAUUUUAAUAAUUUAGGAUUAUUUUAAUUUAAAGUUUUAAUUAAAUUUUAUUGGGGUAAUAUAAAGAUUAAAUAAAUUCUUUUUAUUUAUGACAUUGAUUUAUGAAUAUAUGAUCCAUUAAUAUUGAUUAUAAGAUUAAGUUACCUUAGGGAUAACAGCGUAAUUUUUUUGGAGAGCUCAUAUCGAUAAAAAAGUUUGCGACCUCGAUGUUGGAUUAAAAAUUAGCUUGGGUGUAGAAGCUCAAGAUUUUGGUCUGUUCGACCAUUAAAUUUUUACAUGAUCUGAGUUCAGACCGGCGUGAGCCAGGUCGGUUUCUAUCUUUAUUAAGAUAAAAUGUUUUAGUACGAAAGGACCAAAUAUUUAAUAUAAUUAUAUUUAUUUUUUGAAGAAUAUU